This 482-nucleotide ribosomal RNA is filed under the name uncultured bacterium. RNAcentral's name for it is "partial 16S ribosomal RNA". It matches the Rfam family "Bacterial small subunit ribosomal RNA", at positions 30 to 507 of the family's 1533-position model. The record is from RNAcentral.
AUUGAACGCUGGCGGCAUGCUUUACACAUGCAAGUCGAACGGUAACAGGCCGCAAGGUGCUGACGAGUGGCGAACGGGUGAGUAAUGCAUUGGAACGUGCCCAGUCGUGGGGGAUAACUACUCGAAAGAGUAGCUAAUACCGCAUACGAUCUAUGGUUGAAAGCGGGGGACCGUAAGGCCUCGCGCGAUUGGAGCGGCCGAUGUCAGAUUAGGUAGUUGGUGGGGUAAAGGCUCACCAAGCCAACGAUCUGUAGCUGGACUGAGAGGACGACCAGCCACACUGGGACUGAGACACGGCCCAGACUCCUACGGGAGGCAGCAGUGGGGAAUUUUGGACAAUGGGCGCAAGCCUGAUCCAGCAAUGCCGCGUGCAGGAAGAAGGCCUUCGGGUUGUAAACUGUUUUUGUACGGAACGAAACGGCUCUGGUUAAUACCCGGGGCUAAUGACGGUACCGUAAGAAUAAGCACCGGCUAACUACGUG